The sequence is a ribosomal RNA, 1499 nucleotides long. It matches the Rfam family "Bacterial small subunit ribosomal RNA".
AGAGUUUGAUCCUAGCUCAGGAUGAACGCUGGCGGUGUGGAUAAGGCAUGCAAGUCGAACGAACCUUGUGUAAUUGAAGUCUUCGGACUGAUUUUACACGCUGGUUAGUGGCGAACGGGGUAGUAACGCGUAGGAACGUACCAAAAAGUCAGGAAUAGCCCAUCGAAAGAUGGAUUAAUACUUGAUAGUCCCUCCGGGGUAAAGAUUUAUCGCUUUUUGAUCGGCCUGCGUAGUAUCAGCUUGUUGGUGAGGUAAUGGCUCACCAAGGCUAUGACGCUUAGGGGAGCUGAGAGGCUGACCCCCACCAUUGGAACUGCGACACGGUCCAAACUCCUACGGGAGGCUGCAGUCGAGAAUCUUCCGCAAUGAACGAAAGUUUGACGGAGCGACACCGCGUGAUGGAUGAAGCCUUUAGGGGUGUAAACAUCUUUUAUAGGGGAGGAAACUAUUGACGUUACCUUAUGAAUAAGGGGCUCCUAAUCUCGUGCCAGCAGGAGCGGUAAUACGAGAGCCUCGAGCGUUAUCCGGAAUUAUUGGGCGUAAAGGGUCCGUAGGUGGUUAUAUUAGUCUUUUGUGAAAGACCCAGGCUCAACUUGGGGAACGCAGAAGAAACGGUAUGACUAGAGGGUGUAAGGGGUGUGUGGAACUCAUGGUGUAGGGGUGAAAUCCGUUGAUAUCAUGGGGAACACCAAAAGCGAAGGCAACACACUGGUACACAUCUGACACUGAGGGACGAAACCCUGGGUAGCGAAUGGGAUUAGAUACCCCAGUAGUCCAGGGCCUAAACGAUGCAGACUAGUUUUGGGGAGUAUCGACCCUCUCCGAGACGCAGCUAACGCGUUAAGUCUGCCGCCUGGGAAGUACGAUCGCAAGAUUAAAACUCAAAGGAAUAGACGGGGACUCGCACAAGCGGUGGAUUAUGCGGUUUAAUUCGAUGAUAACCGAAAAACCUCACCAGGGUUAGAAACUUAUAUGACAGGUAUCAGAAACGAUACCCUUCUUCGGACAUAUAAGCAGGUGAUGCAUGGCCGUCGUCAGCUCGUGGUUUGAAUUGUUCCCUUAAGUGGGUCAACGAGCGCAACCCUCAUCAGUGUGUUAUACGUGUCACACGAGACUGCCCAGCCCAAUGCGUACAAGCGUAAGUUUGUAAAUAUUGGGCUGGGAGGAAGGAGAGGAUGACGCCAGGUCAGCAUGUCCCUUGAUACCCUGGGCUACACGCAUAAUACAAUGGCCGGUACAACAGGUCGCGACGAGGUAACUCUGAGCCAAUCCUAUAAAGCCGGUCCCAGUUCGGAUUGUGGUCUGAAACUCGACCACAUGAAGUCGGAAUCGCUAGUAAUCGCGGAUCAGCAAGCCGCGGUGAAUACGUUCUCGAGUCUUGUACUCACCGCCCGUCAAUUCAAGGGAGCCGGGGGUGCCCGAAGUCUGCACUAGAUGUGGCCUAAGGCAAAUUCGGUGACAGGGAAUAAGUCGUAACAAGGCACGGCUAGCGGAAGCUG